AAUGGACGAGAGUCUGAACCAGCCAAAUCGCGUGAAGGAAGACUGCCCUACGGGUUGUAAACUUCUUUUGUACAGGAAUAAAAGACAUUACGUGUAAUGUAUUGCAUGUACUGUACGAAUAAGCAUCGGCUAACUCCGUGCCAGCAGCCGCGGUAAUACGGAGGAUGCGAGCGUUAUCCGGAUUUAUUGGGUUUAAAGGGUGCGCAGGCGGGAUUUUAAGUCAGCGGUGAAAUUUUCAGGCUCAACCUGAACACUGCCGUUGAAACUGGGAUUCUUGAGUAUGGAUGAAGUAGGCGGAAUUCGUUGUGUAGCGGUGACAUGCUUAGAUAUAACGAGGAACUCCGAUUGCGUAGGCAGCUUACUAAGCCAUAACUGACGCUCAAGCACGAAAGCGUGGGGAUCAAA
Molecule: ribosomal RNA, 405 nt
Filed under: uncultured bacterium
Lineage: Bacteria
Description: bacterial SSU rRNA
Rfam family: Bacterial small subunit ribosomal RNA
Source: RNAcentral